This 1515-nucleotide long non-coding RNA is filed under the name Homo sapiens (human). RNAcentral's name for it is "non-protein coding lnc-NAMPT-3:1". Lineage: Eukaryota; Metazoa; Chordata; Mammalia; Primates; Hominidae. The record is from RNAcentral.
GUAGUGCAUCUUUUCCUAGCCUUUGAUUCACAGUAAUUUUACAUGAUCACAUUGUUAGCCUUACCAACUGUGUGACUUUUCCUGUUUAAGACAGUAAGUUCUGCUACUAAAUAACUUGCUCCCUGGUCCUUUUCACUGAAUGUACCUGUUUCUUGUUUGUUUGUGUGUUUGUGUGUUUUUAACAAGAGUUACUGUUUGUUUUAAGAUUCUAAUAGCUGCUUAAAGUAAUCAGCAUCUUUACUUCUCGAAUACCUAUGACUUAUAUUUAAGGGUUUUUGUUUUGUUUGGGUUUUCUUUUUUUUUUUUUAUUGGAGCCAUUCCCACAUCUCUAAGUUGUUUGACAUAGCAGGGAUUGGCAAAUGACAGCCCAUGGGCCGAACCUCACCAGAGGCCUGCUUUGGUACAGCCCUCAGGGCUAAGAUUGGCUUUUACAUUUUUAAAGCAUUUAAACAAGCAGACAAAGACAAAGAAGAAUAUGUGACAGAGACUACAUGUGAUCUGAAAAACCUAAAAUAUUUGCCACCUGCCUCUUUACAGAAAAAUCUUGCUGGCCUCCUCACAUGGAUGAUUCUCAAUAAAAUAAGAAAAUUUGGAUAAUCAGCCUAUAGAAGCUCCUUGGUAAGGGUCUUUCAUCAUAAAGAUGGACUUUUUCUGUGUCCUUUGUUCCAAUCACACAGGAAAAUGACUCAGAAGGUUAUAAUUCAUCAUCACUACCCUUAUCAGGGUUAUCCCCAGGCCUAAAAUUUUCCUCUUCCAUCUCACAUCUCACCUUCAAAAAUUACCACAUUGGGUUAUCAAACAUGUUUAUAAAAUACAAACAUGAGUUAAGUGUAAAACAUAAGAGCAUAGUAAAAUUUAAAAAUCCCCCCAAACUCAUCAAUCACUGGAGAAAUCACUUUUAGUCUUUUUCAACCUAUGUUUUGCCAUGUUUGUAACCACAACAAAACUGGGGGCAGGAGGUGGGGCAGGGUGCAGCUGAGCCUUUAGAAUGAAAAUUAAAUUUCCCCUCAUUUUUAGUUAUACUAGCAAAGCUUGUUUGGUCCUGUGAGUCAUCCUGUAGUGCAUAAGGGGAGUUUAGGGGAAAUAGUUAGAGAAGGAAAAACUCAUGUCAUCCAUUUACCACCCCUCUCGUCUGUGCAAUAUAGCACUCAUCAGUUACCAGUAACCUCCCAUAGCUUGCAUCAUAAACCAAACUGGGCACAAACAAAUACAAUCCUAUUGCACACUGCCACAAUGGGGCUGAAAGACCCCGAAUGAAAUUGCUGACAUGUCUGCUUAGCCACUAUCUAUCCUCAAAGUAUGCAAACUUCGAAAGUUGAUGUCUAGGUUUUAAAUCAAAAUCUCUUACAAACCCCUAGUGAUGACAUAUUGAACUUUAAGGUUUUGUGGAAACCAAAUUGAGAAACAUUGGACCAGAGUCUCUGUAUUCCAAAAGAUUAUCUUUCAUUUGUAUAAUCUAAAACUCCCUUAAGUCUUAUUCUUCUCCAAAACUCAAAGAUCUACCCUUCUUCAAAG